UUAAGUUCAGUGGGUAUCCCUACCUGAUCCGAGGUCAAACCAUAGAAUAUGUGUGGGUUGUCCGGCGGCAGCACCGCAAGCUCCGGAGCGGGUAGAUUUGACUACGCUGGGAGUUGGGCACCGCCGCCUACGAGUUUCGGGCACGUCCGGUGAGGACGAGGCCCAAUACCAAGCAGAAGCUUGAGGUUUGAAAUGACGCU
Molecule: unclassified non-coding RNA, 200 nt
Filed under: Acanthostigma sp.
Lineage: Eukaryota; Fungi; Ascomycota; Dothideomycetes; Tubeufiales; Tubeufiaceae
Description: partial internal transcribed spacer 2
Source: RNAcentral